Molecule: long non-coding RNA, 139 nt
Organism: Pipistrellus kuhlii (Kuhl's pipistrelle)
Lineage: Eukaryota; Metazoa; Chordata; Mammalia; Chiroptera; Vespertilionidae
Exons: 4
Source: RefSeq, a predicted model, not a curated record
UUUAAUGAGAAAAUCUCUGACCAAAAAGCAAGUUAAAAGCCCAGAGGAGUAACCCCAAAAGCGUGUAUCUAAUCUCAAGUGUACAACAAAAUCUCAAUAAUUUUUUUCAAAUUUAAACAAUUUAAAAGCCCACAAUUUG